UACGUAGGGGGCAAGCGUUGUCCGGAAUCAUUGGGCGUAAAGAGCGUGUAGGCUGCUUCGCAAGUCGGAUGUGAAAGCCCUGGGCUCAACCCAGGAAGUGCAUUCGAAACUGCAGAGCUGGAGUCCUGGAGAGGAAGGCGGAAUUCUCGGUGUAGAGGUGAAAUUCGUAGAUAUCGAGAGGAACACCGGUGGCGAAGGCGGCCUUCUGGACAGUGACUGACGCUGAGACGCGAAAGCGUGGGGAGCAAACAGG
RNAcentral lists this ribosomal RNA (253 nucleotides) under uncultured bacterium. RNAcentral describes it as "partial 16S ribosomal RNA". It matches the Rfam family "Bacterial small subunit ribosomal RNA", at positions 524 to 776 of the family's 1533-position model. The record is from RNAcentral.